This is a long non-coding RNA of Alligator sinensis (Chinese alligator), 593 nucleotides long. RefSeq lists it as uncharacterized. The record is from RefSeq and is a predicted model, not a curated record. The transcript is spliced from 2 exons. NCBI's taxonomy places the organism in Eukaryota, Metazoa, Chordata, Crocodylia, Alligatoridae.
CGGAGCAGGGCGCUGGCUGCGCUGCCUGCGGGUGUUUUCCGUUGCGCUUCCCGGCGCGGGACCUUAGCUCCAGCAAGGUACCUGGAGUGCGAGCUCCUCCUGCUCCGCGCGCACCACGAGGACUUGUCGGAGCUGGAGGCGCUGCCGCAGGCCUGGCAGAGGCUGUUGGAGCGCCACAACCCGGACGUCGUGGAAGACACUCUGCUGAAGGCCUCGCUCUUCCUGGAGACUGGGUGAGAGCUGUGUCCUCGCACUAACCAGCCGGCAGAGAGGACAGCAGGGACCUCGGAGCAAAUCUACCGAAGCGCCCAGGCCCAGACUUUGCGGCGAGCAGAGGGAGCCUGGCCGCGGGUCGGUGGAGAGCAGGGCGCACCCUGCUCUGAGCUGUGUUUUAGGAGGCUCUUGCUGAGUGGGAUGAGCCUGUCUGACGGCUGAGGGGUGUGCAGGCCCUGUUGCAUCAGCGGUCUUGUUCUUGGAGGCCAGAUGAAGGAGGACAUGGGAGGAAGGUUAUCUUUGGUCCCGGGAGACCCGGUAAUACCUGCUCUGACAGGUGUCUUGGAUAUUAAAGGCAAAACAGUGCGCAUGGAAAAAAA